CACGUAAGAGCGAGAUGCUGACGUGAAAGGAAAUCGCUCCCUCAAGGACGCGAUUUCCUUCCACAUCAGCAUCUCGCACUUACGUGG
This is a non-coding RNA of Gossypium hirsutum (cotton), 87 nucleotides long. The record is from Rfam. Lineage: Eukaryota; Viridiplantae; Streptophyta; Magnoliopsida; Malvales; Malvaceae.